AAAAUUCAGAGAUUAAGUUAAAAAUCUGCUAGCCUUUGCAUUCUAAAAAAAGUUCAGUACUUUAAGAGCUAAAAAACUGAAGAAUUCUAUUUUCUUUUACUGCUGAAAAAAAUAGUAAUUAUACUGUUAUUGUUUCAUUAAAUCAGAGUGUUUGUGUCUUGGUCUUGAAGAGCUUUGGGGUCAUUUUGGUCAUUGUUUCUGUUUGGUGUGGCUGUUGGCAUUCUGGUUUGGGUUUAUUGGAGUUCACUCUGUUUGGUGUUGCUGUGUUUCAAUCCUUCGGUUUGUGUUGGUUUUCUUGGGGUCAUUCGAGUCAUUCCUGGGUUUUAUUCGGCUGGGUUUCAUCUGCUGUUGUUUGUCGUUGUUGUUGUACUGUUAUUGCUCUGCUGAUUUCUCAUCUUCCUCUUCCUGCUUUUUAAUAUCAGGUACACUUUCGAAUCAACACUGAUGUAGCUGUGAGUUAUAAAAGAAAUGAAAUGCUAGGAUUAUUGAUGAACUAGUGUUGUACCUGUAGCUUAGAUAGAUAGGUGAUAAGUAUCUUAUAGUCUAGUUUCAUAAUUCAAUAAGAA
RNAcentral lists this long non-coding RNA (566 nucleotides) under Nicotiana benthamiana. RNAcentral describes it as "long non-coding RNA (NBEN_LNC039286)". Lineage: Eukaryota; Viridiplantae; Streptophyta; Magnoliopsida; Solanales; Solanaceae. The record is from RNAcentral.